AGCCAUCUCCCCUCAAAACAGGUAAUGUGCUCUUGAGAAUAGACAGCUAAAUAAGAACUACAACAAAUCAAAGACCUCCGACAAGUAUGGAAUGCAUCUGUCGACGUGCUGCUCUUCCGAGAUGCUCUCAGGGGAUGAGAAGUAGCUUGCACAGCAACGUAUCGCGCCUGGUGCUUGGCACAUCUUACUCAAACAGAUCAGCGUGCAGCCGACAAAGAUCGGUUCGCCCUCGAAGCGAUGCAAGUAGGAGAGGGGUCAGUCUCUUUCCAAAAAUGCAUUGUCUGAGAGCUGUAAAUAGAUAAAUUGGGGCCUUCUGCAUUUAAGAUUCGUGCAGAGAAGAUGGCAUGUUGAGAAUGAGCCAAAUUGGCAGGUACUAAAGGAACAGAUAAUCUCGACCCUGAUUGGAGGAGCAGCGCUUGCAGCAAUCGCUCUGACACAGUUCACACCGCCAGCCUGGGCUGAGCUCGAGGUGAAUGUUAUUUGCUUUCCUCCCCACAGUUGUCACAGUAUUUGUGCCACUCCUGGAGCUUAUAGGAUGCGACGUCCCUAAACUAAUGCCUUUUGAUUGAAUGCGCAGACGAUACCACCCGCUACUGUCUCGAGCCUUGCCAGAGCAAUACCUCAGCAGAA
Molecule: long non-coding RNA, 630 nt
Filed under: Coccomyxa subellipsoidea
Lineage: Eukaryota; Viridiplantae; Chlorophyta; Trebouxiophyceae; Coccomyxaceae
Description: long non-coding RNA (CSUB_LNC000145)
Source: RNAcentral